Molecule: long non-coding RNA, 602 nt
Organism: Oreochromis aureus
Lineage: Eukaryota; Metazoa; Chordata; Actinopteri; Cichliformes; Cichlidae
Exons: 3
Source: RefSeq, a predicted model, not a curated record
CCUUGACAAAGUUGUGCCUGGCCUGCUGAAACUGUACUGGUCUAAGAAGGGAGCUCUUGGUGAGGAGAUGGAAGACCUCCUGGAUAAACUUGAUGAACAGACAUCCAACACUGUGUCCAACGGGCACUGAGAGGCCUGCCCAUUUUCCUCAAGACAAGAUGCAACAGAGGUUUUCCUGAAGUGCUUAGACACUGACAUUUUGGAACCAGUGUUGAACGGUGCAUCAGUUGCCAUCCUCACCAUCCUACAAGAUGACGAUGCUGAUACGUCUGUGCGAGAACAUCCAGUUGUGUUGGAAGGGGACAUCGUGCUACAUAACAUUCCAGAUCUCUCUACUGCCCUGGCACACCUCUUUGGCCUUCUGUAUGCCCUCAACAUUGAUUACCCAAAGCAGAUGAGUUUUACCUUUGAAGCAAUUCAGGCCAUCUUAUUUUGGCCUGGUCGGACAAUAUGAAGGUGAAGUGGAUAAAUCAUUAUUCGAAAUGUAAAUUUUAGUCAGAUGAAUCUGUAUUGUUGAGAAUAUAUGGUGAAAAUUUGUCUUGUAGUAUUUUAAAAGAUUUGUUAUAGUGUUAGUUUCCUCUUCAUUGAUGGUAACAUUUCUA